RNAcentral lists this transfer RNA (60 nucleotides) under Ixodes uriae (common seabird tick). Lineage: Eukaryota; Metazoa; Arthropoda; Arachnida; Ixodida; Ixodidae. The record is from RNAcentral.
GUAAAAUGGCCGAUAAAGGUGAUAAAUUGUAAAUUUAUUCAUGAAAUUAUUUCUUUUACU